RNAcentral lists this ribosomal RNA (779 nucleotides) under uncultured crenarchaeote. RNAcentral's name for it is "partial 16S ribosomal RNA". It matches the Rfam family "Archaeal small subunit ribosomal RNA", at positions 1 to 758 of the family's 1478-position model. The record is from RNAcentral. Lineage: Archaea; Thermoproteati; Thermoproteota.
AUUCCGGUUGAUCCUGCCGGACCCGACCGCUAUCGGGGUGGGGCUAAGCCAUGGGAGUCGCACGCUCCGCCGCCGCGGGGCGUGGCGCACGGCUGAGUAGCACGUGGCUAACCUACCCUCGGGAGGGGGAUAACACCGGGAAACUGGUGCUAAUCCCCCAUAGGGGAAGGCGCCUGGAAGGGUCCUUCCCCGAAAGGGUUUGGCAGGGGUUAUCGCUGCCAAGCCGCCCGAGGAUGGGGCUACGGCCCAUCAGGUAGUUGGCGGGGUAAUGGCCCGCCAAGCCGAUAACGGGUGGGGGCCGUGAGAGCGGGAGCCCCCAGAUGGGCACUGAGACAAGGGCCCAGGCCCUAAGGGGCGCACCAGGCGCGAAACCUCCGCAAUGCGGGCAACCGUGACGGGGCCACCCCGAGUGCCCCCUUUCCGGGGGCUUUUCCCCGCUGUAGGUAGGCGGGGGAAUAAGCGGGGGGCAAGUCUGGUGCCAGCCGCCGCGGUAAUACCAGCCCCGCGAGUGGUCGGGACGGUUAUUGGGCCUAAAGCGCCCGUAGCCGGCCUGGUAAGUCCCCUCCUAAAUCCCCGGGCUCAACCCGGGGACUGGGGGGGGAUACUACCGGGCUAGGGGGGCGGGAGAGGCCGAGGGUACUCCCGGGGUAGGGGCGAAAUCCUAUAAUCCCGGGAGGACCACCAGUGGCGAAGGCGCUCGGCUGGAACGCGCCCGACGGUGAGGGGCGAAAGCCGGGGGAGCAAACCGGAUUAGAUACCCGGGUAGUCCGGCUGUACGG